Molecule: small RNA, 710 nt
Filed under: Pan troglodytes (chimpanzee)
Lineage: Eukaryota; Metazoa; Chordata; Mammalia; Primates; Hominidae
Description: retained intron
Source: RNAcentral
GGCGUGUGCUAUCAGCAUUCUGGGAAAGUCUCUGGCUGAUGAACUUGCCCUUGUGGAUGUUUUGGAAGAUAAGCUUAAAGGAGAAAUGAUGGAUCUGCAGCAUGGGAGCUUAUUUCUUCAGACACCUAAAAUUGUGGCAGAUAAAGAUUAUUCUGUGACCGCCAAUUCUAAGAUUGUAGUGGUAACUGCAGGAGUCCGUCAGCAAGAAGGGGAGAGUCGGCUCAAUCUGGUGCAGAGAAAUGUUAAUGUCUUCAAAUUCAUUAUUCCUCAGAUCGUCAAGUACAGUCCUGAUUGCAUCAUAAUUGUGGUUUCCAACCCAGGUAUUAUUGUAUACUUUAAGUCUCUGUUCUGUUAAGUUCAGUGUUUUGUUGUUUUUGUUGUUAUUAUUUUGGACUAAAAUCAGUCCCAGUAUUCAUUUACAGAAGCAGUUUACAUGUCUUCUUUCAUUGGCCCUAAAUAGUGGUGUUUGCAAAACAAAUGCCUCUGUCCCAGGCCAGAUGUUCAAAAAAUGUGACAACAGUUUUAGCUAAAGCAAUUUCAUGUUUUUGCUUCAUCUGGCUUGGUUAUAGAUUCUGAAGGCUUCUAAAACUUUUUUAUAAAGAUUAUCCUGGGAUGGAGAAUGAAGCAUUCGAACAUAGUUUCAAUUUGUAAGAAACAUUUUGACAUAUUUGACCUUUUAUUUUCCGGAAAAUCCCAUUAUACAGAAUUGA